Molecule: long non-coding RNA, 431 nt
Filed under: Capsella grandiflora
Lineage: Eukaryota; Viridiplantae; Streptophyta; Magnoliopsida; Brassicales; Brassicaceae
Description: long non-coding RNA (CGRA_LNC001022)
Source: RNAcentral
CUCAAGCCCUCUCGCUGCUCCUGCUGCAAUCUUCAUUCUUGUGUCCCAAUCCAACGGCUUCUUCUUGUUCCGCGUCAAUUCUGAAGUAAAUAGGUAAACUUUAGAAUGUGUGGAUGUGAAAGUACGUAGUUAUUAUGGUGUUUAGAUUUAUGUUACCUAGAAGAUGAUCCUCUAAAGAACCAUUUUGCAUAUAUUCGUAGACGAGAAUCCGUUGAUCGCCGUCUGCGCAGUAUCCGACCAAAUUGACAAGGUUUUGAUGAUGUAAGAGACUCAACAUCAUGACCUCCACAAGAAACUCUCUGUUCCCUUGGUAACCAUUCCUGUCUAGCUGCUUAACCGCAACAACCUAAACAUGAAAGAAUCUGAAUCAAACCUCUGAAUAGAAUAUGAAGGAGAUGAGGUGUUAUUUAGGAGAAUGCUGGUAGUAGAAG